UUGCCCAAGAGACUGGGAUAACACCUGGAAACAGAUGCUAAUACCGGAUAACAACACUAGACGCAUGUCUAGAGUUUGAAAGAUGGUUCUGCUAUCACUCUUGGAUGGACCUGCGGUGCAUUAGCUAGUUGGUAAGGUAACGGCUUACCAAGGCAAUGAUGCAUAGCCGAGUUGAGAGACUGAUCGGCCACAUUGGGACUGAGACACGGCCCAAACUCCUACGGGAGGCAGCAGUAGGGAAUCUUCCACAAUGGACGAAAGUCUGAUGGAGCAACGCCGCGUGAGUGAAGAAGGGUUUCGGCUCGUAAAGCUCUGUUGGUAGUGAAGAAAGAUAGAGGUAGUAACUGGCCUUUAUUUGACGGUAAUUACUUAGAAAGUCACGGCUAACUACGUGCCAGCAGCCGCGGUAAUACGUAGGUGGCAAGCGUUGUCCGGAUUUAUUGGGCGUAAAGCGAGUGCAGGCGGUUCAAUAAGUCUGAUGUGAAAGCCUUCGGCUCAACCGGAGAAUUGCAUCAGAAACUGUUGAACUUGAGUGCAGAAGAGGAGAGUGGAACUCCAUGUGUAGCGGUGGAAUGCGUAGAUAUAUGGAAGAACCCCAGUGGCGAAGGCGGCUCUCUGGUCUGCAACUGACGCUGAGGCUCGAAAGCAUGGGUAGCGAACAGGAUUAGAUACCCUGGUAGUCCAUGCCGUAAAC
Molecule: ribosomal RNA, 694 nt
Filed under: uncultured bacterium
Lineage: Bacteria
Description: bacterial SSU rRNA
Rfam family: Bacterial small subunit ribosomal RNA
Source: RNAcentral